This 253-nucleotide ribosomal RNA is filed under the name uncultured bacterium. RNAcentral's name for it is "partial 16S ribosomal RNA". It matches the Rfam family "Bacterial small subunit ribosomal RNA", at positions 524 to 776 of the family's 1533-position model. The record is from RNAcentral.
UACGUAGGGUGCGAGCGUUAAUCGGAAUUACUGGGCGUAAAGCGUGCGCAGGCGGUUUUGUAAGCCAGAUGUGAAAGCCCCGGGCUUAACCUGGGAAUGGCAUUUGGGACUGCAAGGCUUGAGUGCGGCAGAGGAGACUGGAAUUCCCGGUGUAGCAGUGAAAUGCGUAGAUAUCGGGAGGAACACCGGUGGCGAAGGCGGUUCUCUGGGCCUUACCUGACGCUGAGGAGCGAAAGCGUGGGGAGCGAACAGG